UUGGUGUAGUAGCAUGUGAACUACUCUAAAGCCUUGAGAUCAGAUCUCAAGGGUAUUUCUCCUUUCUCUUUGAAGAAAGAGUUUAUCCCUCUCUCCUACAAUAUUUGGCGUGUACGCAAAGUAGAGGAUCUGUGCAUUCGGAUCUUAUGAAGCAUAUUCAUCAAGUAGCUUCUUCAAUCUUGAUUAUUCUUUAUUACGAAUCAAGAUA
This 208-nucleotide long non-coding RNA is filed under the name Elaeis guineensis (African oil palm). RNAcentral's name for it is "long non-coding RNA (EGUI_LNC047157)". Lineage: Eukaryota; Viridiplantae; Streptophyta; Magnoliopsida; Arecales; Arecaceae. The record is from RNAcentral.